Molecule: transfer RNA, 72 nt
Filed under: Camelus bactrianus (Bactrian camel)
Lineage: Eukaryota; Metazoa; Chordata; Mammalia; Artiodactyla; Camelidae
Also listed under: 1 other name
Rfam family: tRNA
About the family: Transfer RNA (tRNA) molecules are approximately 80 nucleotides in length. Their secondary structure includes four short double-helical elements and three loops (D, anti-codon, and T loops).
Source: Rfam by way of RNAcentral
AAAGGUAUAGCUCAGUGGUAGAGUGCAUGCUUAGCAUGCACGAGGUCCCAGGUUCAAUCCCCAGUCCCUCCA